UGGAGAGUUUGAUCCUGGCUCAGGAUGAACGCUAGCGGCAGGCCUAACACAUGCAAGUCGAGGGGGAAGUUACUUUCGGGUGACUGAGACCGGCGUACGGGUGCGUAACGCGUAUACAAUCUGCCUUUCACUGGGGGAUAGCCCGAAGAAAUUUGGAUUAAUACCCCAUAGUAUAGUAAUACGGCAUCGUGAUACUAUUAAAGCUUAGGUGGUGAAAGAUGAGUAUGCGUUCUAUUAGCUAGUUGGAGAGGUAAUGGCUCCCCAAGGCUACGAUAGAUAGGGGUUCUGAGAGGGAUGUCCCCCACACUGGUACUGAGAUACGGACCAGACUCCUACGGGAGGCAGCAGUGAGGAAUAUUGGACAAUGGUCGGAAGACUGAUCCAGCCAUGCCGCGUGCAGGAUGACUGCCCUAUGGGUUGUAAACUGCUUUUGUAAGGGAAGAAUAAGGGCUACGCGUAGUUUGAUGACGGUACCUUACGAAUAAGCAUCGGCUAACUCCGUGCCAGCAGCCGCGGUA
This 518-nucleotide ribosomal RNA is filed under the name Capnocytophaga sp. VAMC 936. Its description in RNAcentral is "bacterial SSU rRNA". It matches the Rfam family "Bacterial small subunit ribosomal RNA", at positions 1 to 522 of the family's 1533-position model. Lineage: Bacteria; Pseudomonadati; Bacteroidota; Flavobacteriia; Flavobacteriales; Flavobacteriaceae. The record is from RNAcentral.